GCAAGGAUGUGUCAUGGGAAGUCAAACAUGGGACACAAAAAUCUGAAAUCAGACAAGGAGGGCUCAGAUGUAUUUUACCUAACUGCUCACCAGGUGCUACAAUGCUUUUAUUGACUCAGCUGUUGUGGACCCCUCUCCAACAUCAACAGAAUAACACAUGAAACUUGUUACCAAAGAAGCGCAAGAGGGAUCUCCUAUGUAAGCCUGGGAUGUUGGAAACAAAGGCCACAUGGGGAGAGAAAAGAAGAACAUUUGGGCAGGUGUUCCCUAAAAUGACAGGGCUUGGUGUGGAAUAACAUUAGAAGGAGUCAAGGCUACCCAUAGAAGACAGAUCUGGGGCCUUGUCAUGGCCCAGGUUGGUGGUUGGGUUCUGUUUUACCCAUCACAAGACAUUCUUCUUUUGUUCUUAAGUAAUAAAGGCCUCUGAAUUCUGCAACUUCUA
Long non-coding RNA from Gorilla gorilla gorilla (western lowland gorilla), 442 nucleotides. RefSeq lists it as uncharacterized. The transcript has 2 exons. The record is from RefSeq and is a predicted model, not a curated record. NCBI's taxonomy places the organism in Eukaryota, Metazoa, Chordata, Mammalia, Primates, Hominidae.